This 897-nucleotide long non-coding RNA is filed under the name Brassica napus (rape). RNAcentral describes it as "long non-coding RNA (BNAP_LNC019240)". Lineage: Eukaryota; Viridiplantae; Streptophyta; Magnoliopsida; Brassicales; Brassicaceae. The record is from RNAcentral.
AAGGCCUCAGAAAGGUCCUCCUUUGCGUUCUAUUUUGAAUCCUCAUCGAAACACUUUUUGUUUCGUCUCAAUCGGAGUUUCCGUUGAGAUUUUACGACGAAAUCAAGUAGGACUCUUCUUGGCUUGCUUCUACUCGCUACGUAGCGAUCUGUCAGACCUCCACUCGCUACAUAGCGACCUGUCAGGCCUCAUAAAGCUCCUCCUUUGUGUUCUCUUUUGAAUCCGGUCGAAAGACUUUUCGUUUCGUCUCAAUCGGAGUUUCCGUUGAGAUUCUACGACGAAAACAAGUUAGACUCGUCUAAACUCCUUGGCUUGCUCGCCCUUACCUCCAUCUUUGCGUUCUCCUUCGAAUCUCGACCGAAACAUUUUUUGUGUCGUCUCGAUGGGAGUUACCAUUGAAACUUUACGAUAAAAAAAAAACCCACAACGAUUUGUUUUCUCGCAUAGAUUCAAAUUAAUCGUAUAAAACGGCAACAGUUAACUUAACACCUUAGCCGCCUCAACUAUACGAUUACGUUGAACCUUUUUAUAAAAAUUGAAGUCGUAUCUAAAGGAGAAGAUAACAGUCAAGUUCGGAAGAUAAAUGUCAAGUUUCAAAGGAUAAACACCAAUAUCGAAAAUGGCGAAGAUACACGAGAGGAGGAAGGGGGAAUGAGCCAGCAAAACUGAGAGAGAUAAAUCUGCAUCUUCGAAAGAACUAAGGUAUUUCCAACUUGAAAUUUUUGAAAUCAGACUUGGAAUUUUCGUAGGAAAUUACUAAGAAAUAAAAACGCCUUUGUGACUGCCAUAGAACUUUAGGGAACGUAAAACCUAGGUGGAUAGUCUAGCGAACUAAGUCUUAGGCGAUUUUUUCUGUCUCGAUAUAUCGUUCCAUAACUGUUCAGCCAGAUCUUGCAA